Molecule: ribosomal RNA, 1445 nt
Filed under: uncultured organism
Description: SSU rRNA
Rfam family: Bacterial small subunit ribosomal RNA
Source: RNAcentral
CUCAUGAUGAACGCUAGCUACAGGCUUAACACAUGCAAGUCGAGGGGCAGCAUUUUAGUUUGCUUGCAAACUGAAGAUGGCGACCGGCGCACGGGUGAGUAACACGUAUCCAACCUGCCGAUAACUCCGGAAUAGCCUUUCGAAAGAAAGAUUAAUACCGGAUAGCAUACGAAUAUCGCAUGAUAUUUUUAUUAAAGAAUUUCGGUUAUCGAUGGGGAUGCGUUCCAUUAGUUUGUUGGCGGGGUAACGGCCCACCAAGACUACGAUGGAUAGGGGUUCUGAGAGGAAGGUCCCCCACAUUGGAACUGAGACACGGUCCAAACUCCUACGGGAGGCAGCAGUGAGGAAUAUUGGUCAAUGGGCGAGAGCCUGAACCAGCCAAGUAGCGUGAAGGAUGAAGGCUCUAUGGGUCGUAAACUUCUUUUAUAUGGGAAUAAAGUUUUCCACGUGUGGAAUUUUGUAUGUACCAUAUGAAUAAGGAUCGGCUAACUCCGUGCCAGCAGCCGCGGUAAUACGGAGGAUCCGAGCGUUAUCCAGAUUUAUUGGGUUUAAAGGGAGCGUAGGUGGAUUGUUAAGUCAGUUGUGAAAGUUUGCGGCUCAACCGUAAAAUUGCAGUUGAAACUGGCAGUCUUGAGUACAGUAGAGGUGGGCGGAAUUCGUGGUGUAGCGGUGAAAUGCUUAGAUAUCACGAAGAACUCCGAUUGCGAAGGCAGCUCACUAGACUGUCACUGACACUGAUGCUCGAAAGUGUGGGUAUCAAACAGGAUUAGUUACCCUGGUAGUCCACACAGUAAACGAUGAAUACUCGCUGUUUGCGAUAUACAGUAAGCGGCCAAGCGAAAGCAUUAAGUAUUCCACCUGGGGAGUACGCCGGCAACGGUGAAACUCAAAGGAAUUGACGGGGGCCCGCACAAGCGGAGGAACAUGUGGUUUAAUUCGAUGAUACGCGAGGAACCUUACCCGGGCUUAAAUUGCAACAGAAUAUAUUGGAAACAGUAUAGCCGUAAGGCUGUUGUGAAGGUGCUGCAUGGUUGUCGUCAGCUCGUGCCGUGAGGUGUCGGCUUAAGUGCCAUAACGAGCGCAACCCUUAUCUUUAGUUACUAACAGGUUAUGCUGAGGACUCUAGAGAGACUGCCGUCGUAAGAUGUGAGGAAGGUGGGGAUGACGUCAAAUCAGCACGGCCCUUACGUCCGGGGCUACACACGUGUUACAAUGGGGGGUACAGAAGGCGGCUACCUGGUGACAGGAUGCUAAUCCCAAAAACCCCUCUCAGUUCGGAUCGAAGUCUGCAACCCGACUUCGUGAAGCUGGAUUCGCUAGUAAUCGCGCAUCAGCCAUGGCGCGGUGAAUACGUUCCCGGGCCUUGUACACACCGCCCGUCAAGCCAUGAAAGCCGGGGGUACCUGAAGUACGUAACCGCAAGGAGCGUCCUAGGGUAAAACUGG